This 253-nucleotide ribosomal RNA is filed under the name uncultured bacterium. RNAcentral's name for it is "partial 16S ribosomal RNA". It matches the Rfam family "Bacterial small subunit ribosomal RNA", at positions 524 to 776 of the family's 1533-position model. The record is from RNAcentral.
UACGGGGGGUGCUAGCGUUAUUCGGAAUCAUUGGGCGUAAAGGGCGCGUAGGCGGUUUUUUAAGUCAGAUGUGAAAGCCCUCGUCUUAACCGAGGAAGUGCAUUUGAUACUAAGAGACUUGAGUAUGGGAGAGGGAAGCGGAAUUCCUGGUGUAGCGGUGAAAUGCGUAGAUAUCAGGAGGAACACCGGUGGCGAAGGCGGCUUCCUGGACCAAUGCUGACGCUGAGGCGCGAAGGCGUGGGGAGCAAACAGG